Molecule: ribosomal RNA, 440 nt
Filed under: uncultured bacterium
Lineage: Bacteria
Description: partial 16S ribosomal RNA
Rfam family: Bacterial small subunit ribosomal RNA
Source: RNAcentral
ACUACGGGCGGCAGCAGUGGGGGAUAUUGCACAAUGGGGGGAACCCUGAUGCAGCGACGCCGCGUGGGUGAAGAAGCGCCUCGGCGCGUAAAGCCCUGUCAGCAGGGAAGAAAAUGACGGUACCUGAAGAAGAAGCCCCGGCUAACUACGUGCCAGCAGCCGCGGUAAUACGUAGGGGGCAAGCGUUAUCCGGAUUUACUGGGUGUAAAGGGGGCGCAGCCGGCGAUGCAAGCCAGGAGUGAAAGCCCGGGGCCCAACCCCGGGACUGCUCUUGGAACUGCGUGGCUGGAGUGCAGGAGGGGCAGGCGGAAUUCCUGGUGUAGCGGUGAAAUGCGUAGAUAUCAGGAGGAACACCGGUGGCGAAGGCGGCCUGCUGGACUGCAACUGACGUUGAGGCCCGAAAGCGUGGGGAGCAAACAGGAUUAGAUACCCCUGUAGUC